This 420-nucleotide ribosomal RNA is filed under the name Triticum aestivum (bread wheat). RNAcentral describes it as "partial small subunit ribosomal RNA". Lineage: Eukaryota; Viridiplantae; Streptophyta; Magnoliopsida; Poales; Poaceae. The record is from RNAcentral.
AUGCAGCAUGAGAAGAAUCAGGAGAGGAAUUUUUGUGCUUAUAAAUUAGACCUGUCUAAGGCCUAUGAUAGAGUAGAUUGGGGUUUCCUGCGACAAGCGAUGCAAAAGAUGGGCUUCGCUCACAAAGGUGACCCUUUGUCCCCGUUCUUGUUUCUGCUUGUGGCUGAUGGUCUCUCUGCGCUUCUCAGACAGGGUAUGAAGAGGCAUGUGAUUGAUCCGGUGAAAGUGUGCACCAACGCGCCGGGUAUAUCUCAUCUUUUAUUUGCGGACGACACACUUUUAUUUUUCAAAGCUAGCCAUGACCAAGCUGUUCAUAUCAAGGAAAUCAUAGCCACAUAUGCUAGCGCUACUGGCCAACUCAUUAAUCCACAAAAGUGUUCAAUUCAGUUUGGUGAGUGUUGUGCAGAUGUGGACAAAUAG